AGCGGCGAACGGGUGAGUAACACGUGGGUGAUCUGCCUUGCACUUCGGGAUAAGCCUGGGAAACUGGGUCUAAUACCGGAUAUGACCACGGAAUGCAUGUUCUGUGGUGGAAAGAUUUAUCGGUGCGAGAUGGGCCCGCGGCCUAUCAGCUUGUUGGUGAGGUAACGGCCCACCAAGGCGACGACGGGUAGCCGACCUGAGAGGGUGACCGGCCACACUGGGACUGAGACACGGCCCAGACUCCUACGGGAGGCAGCAGUGGGGAAUAUUGCACAAUGGGCGAAAGCCUGAUGCAGCGACGCCGCGUGCGGGAUGACGGCCUUCGGGUUGUAAACCGCUUUUGACAGGGACGAAGCGCAAGUGACUGUACCUGUAGAAUAAGGACCGGCCAACUACGUGCCAGCAGCCGCGGUAAUACGUAGGGUCCGAGCGUUGUCCGGAAUUACUGGGCGUAAAGAGCUUGUAGGCGGUUCGUCGCGUCGUUUGUGAAAACUUGGGGCUCAACCUUAAGCUUGCAGGCGAUACGGGCGGACUAGAGUACUUCAGGGGAGACUGGAAUUCCUGGUGUAGCGGUGAAAUGCGCAGAUAUCAGGAGGAACACCGGUGGCGAAGGCGGGUCUCUGGGAAGUAACUGACGCUGAGAAGCGAAAGCAUGGGUAGCAAACAGGAUUAGAUACCCUGGUAGUCCAUGCCGUAAACGGUGGGUACUAGGUGUGGGGCUCCUUCCACGGACUCCGUGCCGUAGCUAACGCAUUAAGUACCCCGCCUGGGGAGUACGGCCGCAAGGCUAAAACUCAAAGAAAUUGACGGGGGCCCGCACAAGCGGCGGAGCAUGUGGAUUAAUUCGAUGCAACGCGAAGAACCUUACCUGGGUUUGACAUACACCGGAAACCUGCAGAGAUGUAGGCCCCCUUGUGGUCGGUGUACAGGUGGUGCAUGGCUGUCGUCAGCUCGUGUCGUGAGAUGUUGGGUUAAGUCCCGCAACGAGCGCAACCCUUAUCUUAUGUUGCCAGCGCGUAAUGGCGGGGACUCGUGAGAGACUGCCGGGGUCAACUCGGAGGAAGGUGGGGACGACGUCAAGUCAUCAUGCCCCUUAUGUCCAGGGCUUCACACAUGCUACAAUGGCCGGUACAGAGGGCUGCGAUACCGCGAGGUGGAGCGAAUCCCUUAAAGCCGGUCUCAGUUCGGAUCGGGGUCUGCAACUCGACCCCGUGAAGUUGGAGUCGCUAGUAAUCGCAGAUCAGCAACGCUGCGGUGAAUACGUUCCCGGGCCUUGUACACACCGCCCGUCACGUCAUGAAAGUCGGUAACACC
Molecule: ribosomal RNA, 1314 nt
Filed under: Nocardia sp.
Lineage: Bacteria; Bacillati; Actinomycetota; Actinomycetes; Mycobacteriales; Nocardiaceae
Description: bacterial SSU rRNA
Rfam family: Bacterial small subunit ribosomal RNA
Source: RNAcentral